RNAcentral lists this long non-coding RNA (4968 nucleotides) under Sus scrofa (pig). RNAcentral describes it as "lncRNA (ENSSSCG00005044513.1)". Lineage: Eukaryota; Metazoa; Chordata; Mammalia; Artiodactyla; Suidae. The record is from RNAcentral.
CACCUGGGGCAUAUGGGAGUUCCCAGGCUAGGGGUCGAUUUGGAGCUAUAGCUGCUGGCCUAUACCACAGCCAGCUCCAAGCUUUGUCUGCAACCUACACCACAGCUCAUGGCAAUGCCAGAUCCUUAACCCACUGAGCAAGGCCAGGGAUCGAAUUCGUGCCCUCACGGAUACUAGUCAGGUUCGUUACUGCCGAACCACAAUGGGAACUCCCCUGAUAAAGGUUUCUAUCAUCUGAUUAUUGGUUAAGUGAUGCAUAUAGUAAUAGCAGAGGAAAAAUCAAAAGCUACAGAACCCCAAAUCAGCUUUGUGUGCCCCAAAGACAGAGAUAAGCCAGUGCCUCAUUAUAGUCAAGGGAGUCCCUAGUCAUGACAUGAUGCGUUACAAAGAUUUAUCGUAUAAAUUUGAUCUGAGAGCAAAGUUAACAAAUGCUUUGUUUACAUCUGUUUUUUUCCUUGGCUACACCACACCAUAUGGAAGUUCCUGGGCCAGGGAUCCAAUCUGAGCCACAGUUGUGACCUACAUGACAGCUGUGGCAACACCAGAUCCUUAACCCACUGCGGGGCUAGGGCUCCAACUCUCGCCUCAGCAGCAAACUGAGCCGCUGCAGAGAUAACACUGGAUCCUUAACCUGCUGUGCCACAGUGGGAACCCCUUGUUUGCAUUUUUGAAGUGCUGUAUUUUUAAGGUUUCUAUUAUGAAAUUUUUGAUAGAGAGCCUUUGCCUGACUCCAAAAUAAAAUGUUUGUUAUAUUCUUGCCAUCCCCUGUGCAAGAUGAUUUCAGCUCUUGAAGAGAACUGGUAAUUGGCUGGUUGGAAGAGAACAUAUAGAGACAUAUAUGCCCUUUGUCUAUUCCUCUCCGCCACAGUUUUAACUCUUCUAACACAGGUUAUUACAAUAGCAAUUUAUUUUCAACCUUUCACUCUUUGUCAAGAAGGAGGCGACAUCUCUGAGGGAACUGUUACAGAAGAAACACAAUGUGAUGUGUCCAGCUGAACAUUUUGCUUGUGAGUAAGGGAGGGAGAAUUGUGAACUCCAAUCCAAAAGAGUGGUCCAAGGAUGACUUCAAACUGUUUUUUUUUGUUUUUUGUUUUUUUCCUUUUUAGGGCUACACCUGUGACAUAUGGAAGUUCCUGGGCUAGGGGUCAAAUCGGAGCUGCAUCUGCCAGCCUAUGCCACAGCCACAGCAACCACCGGAUUUGAGCUGCAACUGUGAGCCACAGCUUGGGGCAAUGCUGAAUCCUUAACCCACUGAGCGAGCCCAGGGAUGGAAGCUGCAUCCUCACGGAAAUUAAGUCAGGUUCUUAACCCACUGAGCCACAAUGGGAACUCCCAAACUGGUUUUGACCUCAGAACAAAUACUGGAGUGUGAAUAUGUGCCCUGGUUGGUGCAUGUCUGUGUCAUAGGCAGGAACUAACCAUAGCCUGGCUCCCAGCUCCAAGGAAAUGAUCAAAGGUAGUUUUUCCCAGUGGGGAAAAGUUUGGCAAUGGCAACAAACUCAGGUGAUGUAUAGUUUCACUGGAGUGGACUUUCAAGGAUUUUUCUUUCCCUCUAUUUAUCAGUACCAUGAAAUUUCUUACAAGAGAUAUUAAUACUAAAUGCAAUAACACAAGCAACAAAAUGUGAUUCAGAUCCUGCAGAUAUUUUUUAAAUGGUCACUUUAAAUAUAUCCAAAUAAUAUGUGUACUAUGUAAAGAUGAUGAAACAGCAUUUAAGGUUUAAAAAGUUGCCCAUGUUGCACAACUGGUAGAAUUUAUGUCACAGCUACUACAGAAUUAGAGAAAAGCAUCAUACGCGCUAUACUGUUAAAAACAAACUCUCUAUCAUUCUUUCUUUCACAUCCUAUGUGCUUUGAGCUUCUCACUCCUCCUUUCUUUCAUCCAUGGUAGCUGAUGGGAGCACAGGGCCUAAAUUUGGAGAUGCUGCUAGUGAGAGGAUCUCCGACAUGUAUGAAGGUGCAGGUGAUACUUCUCCACCUGCCGCUUCAGUGAAGACAAUGACAUUUAUAAAAAUUAUCUGUCAAAAAACUGAGAAGCUCUGGCACUCCUGACUUGUCCCAACAGGUAUGAAGGUGGAAAGUAUUUUGAAUUCCUUAUUCAGAGGAAUAUUUAAGAGGGGUUAUCUCACUUGAAUUAACAAUGUACUGCAGGUACAGAAUUUCAAAUCAUCUCUAGCACUCUAGUUUCAGCUGAGGUUUUGAGAAGUGAAAUUAUAUUCAUAUGGUCACACAGCAAGUUAGAGAUGGAAUCACCUCUGGAAGUUUCUAGAUUCUUAAGCCAGCAUUUCAAGUCUUAUCCAAAUGAUUGGCCUUGAGGAGUGAUAUUGAAUGGCCCUGAGUGCUGAUUAAAUGCUAUAGUUUAGAGCUUCCUGUAUAAACACAUGAGAUCAUUUCACGUUGCUCAGCACCUGGUGUGAUCCUGGCGAGUUCCUGUCAUGGCUCAGUGGAAACGAAUCUGACUAGCAUCCAUGAGAACGCAGCUUCAAUCCCUGGCCUUGCUCAGUGGGAUAAGGACCCGGUGUUGCUAAGAGCUGUGGUGUAGGUCGCAGAUGCGGCUCGGAUCCCCUGUUGCUGUAACUGUGAUGUAGGCCGGCAACUAUAGCUCUUAUUGGACCCCCAAGCCUGGGAACCUCCAUAUGCUGCAGAUGCAGCCCUAAAAAGACAAAAUUGCAAAAAAAAAAAAAAAAGAAUGAAUGUAUAUUCUAUAGUAAUUUGUAGUAUUUUAUCUCCUUAUAGAAUUUGUCCUGGGUACUAAUAAGCACCAAGGAUCUAAUAAAAAAUUUACCACAACUUGGGGCCCAUUUAUCACAAUUUGGUUGGUACUGGCUUAUUCUUGCUAAUCUAUAGCAGUGGGUAAAGUCAGAAGAAUUAAGCACUAAUCCAGAAUCCAGCAUAUAGGUCUUAGUGUAACGUACCUUCACCAAGACUAGUUCCCUUAGCAAUCAAAUGGAGUUAAUCAUAGCACUUGACUUACUGAUUUAUGAGAAUCAAUCGAAUCAAGUAUUUGAAAGUUCUCUGAGGUACAAAAAUGUGGUAAACAAACAGCCUGGUGGAUUUCUCUCUUGAACUCAAAUUACAGAUGCCACAGAAGCAAGACAGGGGUUGAAAUAUUCCAGAAUAUUUCUCUCUCUCUGUCUUUCUCUAUCUCUCUCUCACACACACACACUGCCAGCUCCUUAGAUCUUAGAUCCUUAGAGAAGAAAACACUUACUUUCAGGUAAUGGCAUGGGGAAAAAUGGUAGCCUAGGACAUACAUUAUAGAAAGAGCACAGGCUAAAGAAGAGAUUUCUAGAUGUCUUUCACUAUAGGAAUGGAUACCUCAAUGUCUUACAAGCAUAAGAUUGACUCUACGUGUCUGUCAGAAGUAACAAACUAAAUCUACAUAUACCUACAUGGAUCAAAUUUAAUACAUGGUAUCAUGUUUAAAAUACACAUGUCUAUAGCAAAAUACUAUUUAUGCAAAUUCAUAAUGUGCAAUACACACAAAACAGAACAUGGUACAUUUUUCCUGCCACACACAUAUAUUAAUAAUUAAUUGAAUUUCUACAAGAAUAGGAGGAAAACCAUGUGGAAUAAAUUAAAAAAAAAAGAAAACAAUAAAAAUAUAGAACAAGGGAAGAGUCUUUAACUUUCCUAAUGUUUCAUGAAUAUCAUUACCAUCAAUUCAUCAAUUCCAUGAAGAAAUAGAAAAGAAAAGCAGGAAAAUAGGAGUAGGAAGGUGGAGAAUGCUGCUUAAAACCAGGCUAUGCCUCACUGACUUCCCUUUUGGUACAGAAACGUAUCCUCUGCUGGCUGCACAGUAACCAUCCCAAUAAUGCACAUAAUCUUUAACAAGGGCAAACUGUCACUGUCAUUUAUUGAUGUUUGUAUCCUGCACAUACAUAUUUACACACACACACACACAUAAUUUCCAUUCAUGUCUUUACUGUCUGCUUAGAUACAAAGAUGUAAUAAAAAGACCACAAACAGUCUGACUCAGUUUUCGAUGUUUGACUAACAGCUUUCAAGCCCCUGCUCCUCCCUUCUCCCUCUUGACUGGCAUCUAGACAAGCCAAUAAGAAGGUCCACAAGCACUCGCUCUUGGUGCUGGUGGAAAAUUCAAACCAAGCAUACCGAGGGCCUGAGGUGAGACCACUUACCCUGGCCUGCACCCUAAUUCCAAUCAAAGUCAAAGCCAGUUUCCCCUUCCUGGACUCUCGAAUCACUUUAGAACCUUCUUGGCAGCCUGACCUGCUUUCCAGAGAAAAGUCUUAUUAUUUAAGUAAUAAACGUCUUUAUAUCUUCUUUGUGCAUGUGUAGAAUCAUUAUUCUCAAUAUCUAGACCAAAUUUGAGUAAUGGAAUUGAUCCUGCCUCUGCUCAGGAAACCAGAGAUUAAAAAGGAAAGCAAAACACACAGGGGCACUAAUUACCAUUCAAAUGAUCCUUCUAAUGAUGAUGUUGGCCCAAGGAGCCAAUGCAUAAUAAAAGAAAGUUGCUCAAAGAGAUAUGCAUUGAUUAUCUUUAUCGCUUUAUCUGAAAUUACCAUUAGGGCUGAAGGCUAAAGAAAAACAUUUUUAUAAUUUUCUAUUUCAUUUCAAAUAUAAUAAAAAUAGCACUUAAGCAAAAUAAGUCUUUUAAAAGCCACAGGGAAUAUAUUACUAUGGUAACACGAUCCCCAGCAGAAAUAGCAACACUGAUCUUGACAUACUCCUAGGAUUACUCUUCUCUCGAUACGCCACAGUGGCAUAGAUAUAAAUCCUUCAAAGACCCUAAGCAGAACACCUAAGCCACAAUAUGCGGCAUCAUUAUAAUGAGGUUGUAUAAAGUUAUCAUGCAAAAUAAUCAGAAACUCCUUUUGGACUGCGCCUUUUCCAUGUUGAAAAGGAAUACAAAGUAUAGUUGCUUUUUCAGGGCACAUCAGCAGAAUAGAAACCCUGUCUGGUGUUUCUAACUUUUAAGUUAGUUUCAACUAUCUAUGUCUCCUGGCAC